UAUCUUUCAAUGGUUGUAUUGCUGUACAGAUGAAGGCACUACAGAUAUACAUUUUAAUUUAACACAGGAAAAUGAAAAGAACAAAUUUGUUUAGAGGCAGUAAAAGUGGUCACAUAAGUCCUCUAUUUCUGUUUUUUAACAGUAAAGACUACGUUUAUCUAGUUUCUUUUUUACUGACUGAUUCCCCAAAUGUUCUUCCCCUGAUCCCCCAAGAAAUCCAACUCCAUUUUCUUUUCAAGGCACUCCAGUUGGAUGUGAUAUGUGUGCUUUGGAUGGAGAUGGAAUUUGGGUGGGGGAAGAUGAUGAAAGGUCAGAAGAAGUUUAAAGGGAAAACAGCCUCUCUAAACACUUCAGUAUUCAUGGAGUUUGGCAACGCUGAACUAACCACUGAGACCUAAGCCUUGUAUCUCAUUUCUGUGGGCAAAAACAAAGAAUUAUUUUUGGCACUCUGUGGAUUUUAGGGGUGUUCCAAUCUUUCUUUAGAAACUACUUCAAAGACAUUAAUUAAAACCCCUUUUUUCCCCUCAUUGUUUUCACACUGGACUUCGAGUUCAUAGAUCUGAACUAGCAUAAAGUUAACCUCUGUGACAAAUAUUGAUGGCUUUCUGUGCAGAGAUGGGUGAUUUUCAUGAUGCUUUCUCACUCAGAUGUCAGUUCGAUUCCUCGCUUUCUUGUAAAUGACAGCCAGCAAAUAACAACUCCAUUGUGUGAUUAGGUUUCACUCCCACAUACUAACUGGACACUCCACUAAAUAGUACAGUUCGAGAGCUGGAAAUUACCUACACAUCUCCUGGAAAGCAGCUAUGCAGUUCAAACCUGUGGGGAAAACAUACUGGCACACUUGUUGGCUAUGUUCUCCUGAAAAGCAAAAUAUGUUGUAUAGAGGACAGUAUUUAGAAAUAUAAUGUUUUAAUGACUGAUUAUGAUCCCAAAGUUUUAAUGUUUCUCUGCCAUAUUGAUUAUAAGGUUGCUCCAAGAAACCAUUGGAUAACAUGGCUGGACAGAAGUUGAACAAGAUUUUAUUAUUGAGUGGAUGCAUGUGUUUUGUUAGAGAAGCACAGACUGCCUCUCUCUUGCUUUUCCACUUCAGUCUCUUUCUGGCAUUUCCAGUGCUCUGCUCUCCACUAAGUAGAUUGAGAGUCACUGCUCUGGGUUUCCUCAGAUGCAAUCGCUCCAGGAGUCACUGCAUCAGGGACUUCCCUUUACACUUCUGCCAUCCAGUCUCCGUUCCUAUGAACUUCCCCCACUUUCUUUACAGGACUUUCACAAAGACCUGCUGAAUUUUGCUGGGAAGAACACAGAGAGUGCACUAGCCAGGGCUGAUGAAUAUAGAUUUAGUUCUUGUCCUCUCAAUAUUUAGUGGUUAUCAUUGAUUGCAACUGUAAGUUGCUCUCUGUAGUAAAAAAAAACAAA
Molecule: long non-coding RNA, 1413 nt
Organism: Neopelma chrysocephalum (saffron-crested tyrant-manakin)
Lineage: Eukaryota; Metazoa; Chordata; Aves; Passeriformes; Pipridae
Exons: 3
Source: RefSeq, a predicted model, not a curated record